Molecule: ribosomal RNA, 460 nt
Filed under: uncultured bacterium
Lineage: Bacteria
Description: bacterial SSU rRNA
Rfam family: Bacterial small subunit ribosomal RNA
Source: RNAcentral
GUACGGAAGGCAGCAGUAGGGAAUAUUGGACAAUGGGCGCAAGCCUGAUCCAGCCAUGCCGCGUGCAGGAUGAAGCAUCUAUGGUGUGUAAACUGCUUUUGUACGAGAAGAAACACUCCAACGUGUUGGAGCUUGACGGUAUCGUAAGAAUAAGGAUCGGCUAACUCCGUGCCAGCAGCCGCGGUAAUACGGAGGAUCCAAGCGUUAUCCGGAAUCAUUGGGUUUAAAGGGUCCGUAGGCGGCCUUAUAAGUCAGUGGUGAAAUCUCACGGCUCAACCGUGAAAUGGCCAUUGAUACUGUAGGACUUGAAUUAUUAGGAAGUAACUAGAAUAUGUAGUGUAGCGGUGAAAUGCUUAGAGAUUACAUGGAAUACCAAUUGCGAAGGCAGGUUACUACUAAUGGAUUGACGCUGAUGGACGAAAGCGUGGGUAGCGAACAGGAUUAGAAACCCGAGUAGUCC